Molecule: RNA transcript, 885 nt
Organism: Daphnia magna
Lineage: Eukaryota; Metazoa; Arthropoda; Branchiopoda; Diplostraca; Daphniidae
Exons: 4
Source: RefSeq, a predicted model, not a curated record
AAGGCUCUUCUACGCAGUUUCCAGUUUCAGUUGAUGUGUUCUCUUCGAAAUUCACGAAACUUUUAGGUUUGUAAAGAUAGCUGAAGCUGUCGAAAAUGUCCAGUGAAAGCUAUCCAGAACAGCUAAAUCCCUUUGUCGAAGACGCAAACAACAUCGAAAAACGACAACCGAAGGAGCUGGAACCCUCGCAAAAUGUUUCUUUCUCGCCAUAAACGCACAUCGUCAUACGCCACUGCGCAAAUAACCAUAAGCGAGAACGUCGAGCGGGAGCCGAUCAAGUCUGUCGAUGAGCAAGUACCACCAAGUGACAGCAUUCACCGUAAGAUGUCUCGAGACACAACACCCAUCGAGUCCAAGUGCCGCACCAGUGAGUCGACAGUGCGUAGGAACAAACGACGUGCACCACUGCCGCCAUUGAUUCCCGUCCCGUGCAAGCCUUCAUCCUCUAUCGCUGCCAAGUCGAUCACGGAUCUCAGUUACUGCGAUACAAUUGAGUUGGAAACUGUUGUCACCAUCACGACAAUAACGGCGACAGUCGAUGAACGGAACGAGGUCGACCAAUUGCCAUUGCUUUUUUGCGAUUUAAAUGAUGAAGAGUCAUGAAAAAUGUUCUGGCUAACACAGAACUAUAUCUAACACAAAAGCCACCAAUCGCCUUGUUGUACAUUUUGUCAAAGCCCAUUUUGUCUACUUUACUCAAUUGUCUUUCCGAGAGUUUUCUGCGAUUUUUGUGAAUCAUCAAUACAUUUCAAUUGCCUUUUGACAAUCGACAUUUGUGUGUAUAUUCACUCUCCUCUGGUCGAUCUACAUUCGACUGGACUAGAAACCAUCAGAUUUUGAGUUAUGCGAAAGCUUUCUAAAGAAACUGAGUUGGAUCCUACGAAA